This 253-nucleotide ribosomal RNA is filed under the name uncultured bacterium. Its description in RNAcentral is "partial 16S ribosomal RNA". It matches the Rfam family "Bacterial small subunit ribosomal RNA", at positions 524 to 776 of the family's 1533-position model. The record is from RNAcentral.
UGCGGAGGGAGCUAGCGUUAUUCGGAAUUACUGGGCGUAAAGCGCACGUAGGCGGCUUUGUAAGUAAGAGGUGAAAGCCUGGAGCUCAACUCCAGAAUAGCCUUUUAGACUGCAUCGCUUGAAUCAUGGAGAGGUGAGUGGAAUUCCGAGUGUAGAGGUGAAAUUCGUAGAUAUUCGGAAGAACACCAAUGGCGAAAGCAGCUUUCUGGGACGGUACUGACGCUGAGACGCGAAAGCGUGGGGAGCGAACAGG